GUGUGUGUGUGUGUGUGUGUGUUGUGUGUGUGUGUGUGUGUGUGUGUGUGUGUGUGUACAGUAUGUGGAUGAAAUGAUGAUGGACAUUUUAAACGAGAUAUUACUGAUGAAUGAUUUGAAGGGGAAAUACUUGAAGAGAGUGACGGCCUGCGAAUGAGAGGCCAGCUCACAGACGUUCAGUAGCAAAGGGUCGGCCAGGGUUAGGGGACCCCCCCCCACCCCCCAGCGGCCCUCAGAUGUAGUAGCCGAGGGCCAGGCCUGAGGAGCUUCUCUGUGUGAAUAUUAGCACUGCCAGAGUAGGAGUGUGUGCGCGUGUGUAUGUGUUAUUGAAUUUGGGAGUAAGGCUUAGGUGUGUGUGUGUGCAGCGAGGGGCUGGAGUGGCUUUGUUGUGAAAACUGAUUGGUCAGGUCUGUCUGAGUGUGAUUGGUCAGGUCUGUCUGAGCGUGCUCUGAGUGUGAUUGGUCAGGUCUGUCUGAGCGUGCUCUGAGUGAGAUUGGUCAGGUCUGUCUGCACUGGACCAACCUUCAUGAAAGGAAAGGAGAU
Molecule: long non-coding RNA, 543 nt
Organism: Clupea harengus (Atlantic herring)
Lineage: Eukaryota; Metazoa; Chordata; Actinopteri; Clupeiformes; Clupeidae
Exons: 3
Source: RefSeq, a predicted model, not a curated record